Molecule: long non-coding RNA, 2258 nt
Organism: Zalophus californianus (California sea lion)
Lineage: Eukaryota; Metazoa; Chordata; Mammalia; Carnivora; Otariidae
Source: Ensembl
AGCGCCAGGGUGUAUCGAGACUGUCAUUAUCCCAGCGGGAGGGGGAGGUGUAGGAUACCAGGGUGGGAUUGGGGGUGCUUAGGGAAGAGUCUGGAAGGAGGGGCAGAAGAGUGUCCACGACAGCCUUCCCCAGCUGCCCUGUGGCACUAGGGCAAACACGAUCCCAUGUGCAUUAGCCCAGGGGCGGGAGCUGCCCCUCCGCUUGAUUCCGUCUCUUUUACAGUGUGCCAUUAUUCUGAGCAGGGAGGCUGCAGCCCCAAGAAUUCCUUACCCGGUGGAUUGUUGUGGCUUUUCCCAUUCACUUUGGAAUCUCAGAAGGCUGGAGGAUGAGGAGCUGUUGAAGAGCUGUGAGCAGGGGUUCGCUGGCCAACGGGUGUGGCCGUGGGCACGGUCACCUUCUCCAGCACACAGUCUGCGUAGAGAAAACAGAAUGACCAUAUUCAGACGGAUGGCUCUUUACUGCCUGUGGCUUCUGGUUUUCCUGCCCGAAUGGACCUUGGAGCCAGGCUGCCCAGGGGCCCCCCAUGUACCCCUGGAGGCCAAGGCCGUGCAGAGGGCACCGCGUGGAGUACCGGACACAUAAGGGGACAGGGUUCGAGGCGGUGAACAGAGACCCCUGUGGGGGGCGCUGAAGUCUAACAAACAGGCCCUUGGAGCCCCAUGCUGCAGCCAUGUCUUCUGGGGCCAGCGUGAAUGCCCUGCAGUGCCUGAUGGAGCCGCUCCAACUGGAGGCCGGAUUGGAGAGAUUCAAGGUCUUGCAGGCAGCUGCAGAGCUUCAACAGUACUGUAUGCAGAAUGCCUGCUGGUAGGUGUUCUGGCUGGAAGCAACACCUUCCAGGGGCCCAGAUCCUAUGCUUUAUCCCAAAGGCUGGGAAGAAGUUUGCUGAGGAAUGCUUUUAAGCCUAAAGUGAUGAAUGACUGCCUCCAAGUCUCAAGAAAACACUUCUCCAGCCAAAUGACUUAGAUAUUUCCGACCUUUCCUGUGGCCAAAAUUCUACAGAAAGUGAUGUUUCCUAUUCAGAUAAGGAAACUGGGUGAAGGAGGAGACUUUAAAUAAUAAUGGCCUGAUUCUUUGGGGAAAGUGCUUUUAUAUUUAAGACCAACAAAAAUGUUGCCACCAAAUACAUACUUUCAUAAGCAAAUUACUAGUGUUUCUAGACCUGGAAUAUUAUGCCUGUUGUAUUAACUGGACGCUUGCAUUUUGGGAAGAGAAACAUUUUUGUUUGUUAAAAACUUGAGUAUUUCGGGGCACCUGGGUGGUGUAGUCCGUUAAGCAUCUGACUUGAUUUUGGCUCAGGUCAUGAUCUCAUUGUCCUGGGAUCCAGUUCCAAGUCAGGCUCUAUGCUCAGCAGGGAGUCUGCUUCUCCCUCUCCCUCUGCUCCUACCCCCACUUGUGCUCCCUCUCUCUCUCUCAAAUAAAUAAAUAAAUCUUAAUUUUAAAAAAAUUGGGUAUUUCAUUAAUUUGUUGUUCCUAAGAUUUUUAUCCCAUAACAAAACUUGUUCUUUUCUUGUGAAUUUAAGUUUCUAAAUGAAAACAAGCAAGUAUAAAACUGGGGGAAGAAUGGGCUUUAUUAAUCAAAUGAUGUUCUGAUUUUUCUAAAUGAGAAGAUUGUUUUAUUUGUAACACUAAGCAUGGGAGCUGUUUCUUAGCAAACUUGUUUGGAAAGAUUCCUGUUGUGUUGUGUAUUAGAUUGCCCCAUCCUGUGUAUGAAGCUGAUUUGGUUUUUGUCCUCUUAAGUUCCUCUACUUUAUAGUUGUGGUUGUACUUAAAAAAACAAAAAACAAACUACAUUAUUUCAUGUCUUUAAAAAAGAUGUUUAAAUUUGAUCUUCAGAACACUGCAAAUGAUUAAAAACAAAAUAAUGGAAAAUACUACAACCUAAAUGAAUUCUUAAUGUCACAAGUAUUUUACUUUGAUGAUGUGCCUUUGAUUUAAUUUGGGACGCUUUUAAAAGGAUACUUUAUUUGUGUUUGUAAUAAUCUUUGACGAGUUUGGAAACAAAAUUUCUGCUUAAUUCAUCAUUUUCUUAAAAAAAAGUAACAUUUUGUUAGAAUCAUUCAUAAAUACCUCAUUUUUGUUGCAAAUGUAAAUGAGCACUUUUUUAAAAUUUCAUUUUCUCUUGCUUAUUGUCCAUAUAUUGAAAAAAACUCAUUUUAGGUAUGUUAAUUUUAUACCCAGCCAUCUUGCAAAACUCUCCUACUAGUCUAAUAAUAUUAGUAGACCCUUGGAUCGUGAUCCACAUAAUUAUGAUAAUAAU